AAUCAAGCUUUGAAGAGUGACGGCGGAAGCAUUUCUAAUAAAGCCCCUGACAUAUGCAUUGUGUAUAAGCUUCAUUUGGAGUGUGGCAGAUUGAUUAACCUUGUUGAUUGGUUAGAGGCUUUCUCAACAGUGGUGACGGCAGUUGAGGGACCAAAUGCAGAUGCAGCUUCCUCAGACCAGGUGGAUGAUAUCAUCCAUGCUCGUUUCAUUCGUGCUGUUUCUGAACUGGAACUCUUGGGCUUCAUAAAGCCCAGCAAGCAGAAAACAGACCACGUGGCACGGCUGACGUGGGGAGGCUGUUAACGUGCCACCAGGAUCUUAGUAAACCUGUUCUUU
Nestor notabilis (Kea) is the source of this 336-nucleotide long non-coding RNA. RefSeq lists it as uncharacterized. The record is from RefSeq and is a predicted model, not a curated record. Lineage: Eukaryota; Metazoa; Chordata; Aves; Psittaciformes; Psittacidae. The transcript is spliced from 3 exons.